RNAcentral lists this transfer RNA (71 nucleotides) under Spilogale putorius (eastern spotted skunk). RNAcentral's name for it is "tRNA-Phe". It matches the Rfam family "tRNA". From Rfam's summary of the family: Transfer RNA (tRNA) molecules are approximately 80 nucleotides in length. Their secondary structure includes four short double-helical elements and three loops (D, anti-codon, and T loops). Further hydrogen bonds mediate the characteristic L-shaped molecular structure. tRNAs have two regions of fundamental functional importance: the anti-codon, which is responsible for specific mRNA codon recognition, and the 3' end, to which the tRNAs corresponding amino acid is attached (by aminoacyl-tRNA synthetases). tRNAs cope with the degeneracy of the genetic code in two manners: having more than one tRNA (with a specific anti-codon) for a particular amino acid; and 'wobble' base-pairing, i.e. permitting non-standard base-pairing at the 3rd anti-codon position. The record is from RNAcentral. Lineage: Eukaryota; Metazoa; Chordata; Mammalia; Carnivora; Mephitidae.
GUUAAUGUAGCUUAAUUCACUCAAAGCAAGGCACUGAAAAUGCCUAGAUGAGUCGCAAGACUCCAUAAACA